GAGUGGCUACCCUGCCAACCUGGGCUCGCACCAAAACUCCACCGAGCAGGCUCUCCACACUAAGGCUGCACUUUUUGGACCAGGACUUCACUGCGUCUCUUUAAGACGUUUAGACCAGAGGCUCUAGGCGUCCAGGCAGCAGUCACAAACAGCAGAAAGCUAACAGCAUUUUAAGUCUCACUGCCGUAGCAACAGCAUCUUCUGUAGAGGAAGAGGGUUUGCCUCAUGCCGAACAGCAGAUUUGCAAAGUUAGUAAGCAACAGGAGCUUUCAGAGGUCACUCCAAGGUUGUUCGCAGAAAAUCGAUUGGAUGAAGCCGAAGGACCAAGAGUGCUGUCAGGGUCAUCCAGAAUUUCAGCUCAGCCAAACAUAUAAAUUUCUGUUGUGUUUUCAUUGAGACUGAAAAAGUAAAAAGAAAUAAA
Amphiprion ocellaris (clown anemonefish) is the source of this 421-nucleotide long non-coding RNA. NCBI's taxonomy places the organism in Eukaryota, Metazoa, Chordata, Actinopteri, Pomacentridae. The record is from Ensembl.